CUAAAACGUCCGUAGCCGGUCUGAUACAUUCGUGGGUAAAUCAACCAGCUCAACUGGUUGAAUUCUGCGAGGACGGCCAGACUUGGGACCGGGAGAGGUGUGGGGUACUCUCAGGGUAGGGGUAAAAUCCUGUCAUCCUGAGAGGACCACCUGUUGCGAAGGCGCCACACUAGAACGGAUCCGACGGUCAGGGACGAAGCCUAGGGGCACGAACCGGAUUAGAUACCCGGGUAGUCCUAGGUGUAAACGCUGUGGACUUGAUGUUGGGGGUGCUCCGAGCGCUCUCAGUGUCGAAGCGAAGGUGAUAAGUCCACUGCCUGGGAAGUACGGUCGCAAGGCUGAAACUUAAAGGAAUUG
RNAcentral lists this ribosomal RNA (357 nucleotides) under uncultured archaeon. Its description in RNAcentral is "bacterial SSU rRNA". It matches the Rfam family "Archaeal small subunit ribosomal RNA", at positions 510 to 867 of the family's 1478-position model. The record is from RNAcentral.